ACCACAGCAACCGGGCCGAGGCAGUUUAUUGUAUAUUCCGCGCACAGUUCCCGACUCCUCCGUCCUCAACAAGUCAAAGACACUUUUCCCCCGUUUAAUUCUGUACUAAAACCACGAAAAGAGUUAUUUUCGCCAUUGGACGCAUCUGGAAUCUCAUAGACGAGCGUCAAUCCAAAAACACCAGCCUCCUCAAUGUAAACAACAACGAUGACGAUGCCACAAAGUGUAUUGACACCAUCUGUCAGAGCUCCAGCCGGUGCCUGAGGAUGAUCUCUUCAGACCAGUGAGCAUCCCCCUGACCUGGACAGACACUUACCGCCAAGCGAAAAGCCCAAAAAGGUCCAUUAAUGACUCCACCAUGGGCAGCCCUGGAGGAUUUUGGCAGUGCUGCGCUGGCUUUAUUGACUGUUCUGACAUGCGGAGGUCUCAGGAGAGGUGCUGGGGAGAG
Molecule: long non-coding RNA, 448 nt
Organism: Cyprinus carpio carpio
Lineage: Eukaryota; Metazoa; Chordata; Actinopteri; Cypriniformes; Cyprinidae
Source: Ensembl